CGCGAAGUUUGGAUCCCCGGAAUGAUUUUGUUCUUUAAGGGAGGAACAACAGCCGCGGGCUCCCGAGGUCCCAAGCCGAGACAUUAGGAAUCUCUCGUCCAAAGAGAUUUACUUGACGUUGCACAGCUAGUUGGACAGGUUUGGGACGAGGGCUCAGUGUUCUUUCCCCUGUAUGCUGUAGAGUUCUAACCUAAAAUAACUGGGUCCAGACACCAGGCAGACACCAGAGCCUUCAGAUUUCAGAGAUCCUUUCUUCGAGGACUAAAUCUCUGGACUUCUGCUGGGAUGCAGAAGGGAAUAAAAUUCUCAUGCAUUUCUUUCUCCUCGGAGAAGCACUCUCUAUUCCUGAUAGCCACCAUGGAGCCACCUGUUGCUGAUCAAAGAAGUUUGAUUAUUUCUGAAAAUUAUCAGUGAUCAUGAGACAAACCCUCCGUUUUGUUAUACAGUAGGUCCCCUACAUACGAACCUUCAAGUUGCGAACUUUCAAAGACACAAAAGUGCGUUCCAUCAACGUCAGGCGUGAGUGAAAUUGGAGCUUGCCCUCCAUCUCCUAUUGCUGAUGAUCCUUCAGCUCCACCAUCUCCCACCUCCUCUCCCUCCUCCAGUCAGUAACUCUUCUUGCCUGGUCACUCGAUGCCAGCCCCUGUAUGAGAGCUGU
Molecule: long non-coding RNA, 658 nt
Organism: Mesoplodon densirostris (Blainville's beaked whale)
Lineage: Eukaryota; Metazoa; Chordata; Mammalia; Artiodactyla; Ziphiidae
Exons: 4
Source: RefSeq, a predicted model, not a curated record